CGACGUUGCCGGGGAAACUUGCGAGGCUGCGGAGGCGCGACAACCCCUAAAUACGCUACGCAGGAGAGACGCGGGGGAGUGGGAAGCGAGUUUUUUCUCCCGGGGAAGAGGCUGCGGGGCUCGUAAUGGUGGAGAGAAAUCGACGAGUCUGCGCACUCCAAUUUGAGAAGUCUCCUGGCAAGCGCAAGCACGAAGGGAGAGAGAAAGCUCGCGCGCACAAGAAGACGAAGUGCGCCGGAGAGAGGACGAAAAGCUCGGGAGCUCAGAAGAGUUGCAAGCUCUCGCUAACAGUUAGGAGCUCUAUAUAGCAAGUGGCCGCGGUGCGCUAACCGACGGAGGAGGAGAAGCAGUGGCAGCAGCAACUAACGGCCGAGGCCGGGUGUAAAUUAGGGACUCGCCAACUUCGCAUCUUGCCCCGACGCGUCACGGGGCUUUGCGAGGAUGCGUGCGCGGCGCGAGGAGAUUUCCGAGGAAGACUUUCGGAGGCGUGUCUCUGGGGAAGGGAAAUUAUUUUCAUUUUUUGCGUCGCGAACGCAGGCUUGGUUAAAUAAUAAUGAGUUCAUUAGGACUUCAAUAUGUUGCGCAUAAACAUUCGAUUCGUUUAGGUCUCAUUCAAUUAAUCCGUUCCGAGCCACUAAGUUUGCGAAUUCAGCAGACAGUUGAUAAAUUCUAAAGCGCACGCUCAAUUAGCAACAUUCGUAUCAUAACAAAGCGACGCAGUUCGAAAUUGCUUGUAACGAGUUAGGGCACCUUCAAUAACAAUCAAUGACAAUAAUGGA
Molecule: long non-coding RNA, 779 nt
Organism: Nasonia vitripennis (jewel wasp)
Lineage: Eukaryota; Metazoa; Arthropoda; Insecta; Hymenoptera; Pteromalidae
Exons: 3
Source: RefSeq, a predicted model, not a curated record